RNAcentral lists this ribosomal RNA (840 nucleotides) under Penicillium spinulosum. RNAcentral's name for it is "LSU rRNA". It matches the Rfam family "Eukaryotic large subunit ribosomal RNA", at positions 69 to 928 of the family's 3401-position model. Lineage: Eukaryota; Fungi; Ascomycota; Eurotiomycetes; Eurotiales; Aspergillaceae. The record is from RNAcentral.
CAGGGAUUGCCUCAGUAACGGCGAGUGARGCGGCAAGAGCUCAAAUUUGAAAGCUGGCUCCUUCGGGGUCCGCAUUGUAAUUUGCAGAGGAUGCUUCGGGAGCAGCCCCCAUCUAAGUGCCCUGGAACGGGCCGUCAUAGAGGGUGAAAAUCCCGUAUGGGAUGGGGUGUCUGCGCCCAUGUGAAGCUCCUUCGACGAGUCGAGUUGUUUGGGAAUGCAGCUCUAAAUGGGUGGUAAAUUUCAUCUAAAGCUAAAUAUUGGCCGGAGACCGAUAGCGCACAAGUAGAGUGAUCGAAAGAUGAAAAGCACUUUGAAAAGAGAGUUAAAAAGCACGUGAAAUUGUUGAAAGGGAAGCGCUUGCGAUCAGACUCGCCUUGGGGGUUCAGCCGGCAUUCGUGCCGGUGUACUUCCCCCAGGGCGGGCCAGCGUCGGUUUGGGUGGCCGGUCAAAGGCCCUUGGAAUGUAACGCCUCUCGGGGCGUCUUAUAGCCAAGGGUGCCAUGCGGCCUACCUGGACCGAGGAACGCGCUUCGGCUCGGACGCUGGCAUAAUGGUCGUAAGCGACCCGUCUUGAAACACGGACCAAGGAGUCUAACAUCUACGCGAGUGUUCGGGUGUCAAACCCGUGCGCGCAGUGAAAGCGAACGGAGGUGGGAACCCUUUGGGUGCACCAUCGACCGAUCCUGAUGUCUUCGGAUGGAUUUGAGUAAGAGCGUAGCUGUUGGGACCCGAAAGAUGGUGAACUAUGCCUGAAUAGGGCGAAGCCAGAGGAAACUCUGGUGGAGGCUCGCAGCGGUUCUGACGUGCAAAUCGAUCGUCGAAUUUGGGUAUAGGGGCGAAA